RNAcentral lists this long non-coding RNA (1174 nucleotides) under Equus caballus (horse). RNAcentral's name for it is "lncRNA (ENSECAG00000058767.1)". Lineage: Eukaryota; Metazoa; Chordata; Mammalia; Perissodactyla; Equidae. The record is from RNAcentral.
CUGUAUCACUGCCCCCGACACCCUCCCCAGGGCCACCUGUCCUCUUCACAACCCCCACCACCCCCACUGAGCCCUGGCCUCCAACCCAUUUCCAUGUCCUCCUCUGAGUCCCAUUCCUUGCUGAACAAAGUGCUCAGUGAAAAAAAGGUGGAGGGUCUAGGGUGAAAGAAGAGAUCCAGGGUGUACCUGGUGCAGCCUUUUGGGAACAGAAACUUGCAAGUCUCUGUGGGCCUGCGCAAGCUAAGGCCUGGGCUCCUGGCCGACUUUUCUGCUGGUCCAGAAGACACCCACACGCCCAAACCUCGGGGAAUGCGGCUUGCUGACCUUGGCAGGAAGGAGGGCUGAGUCGGCCUUUUGCAUAACAUAAAUACUCAGCACAGCUGCCUCCGACCUGCCCACUUCUUGUCAAAUCCAAGAAGGAAGGGACCUCCUGGCCAAACCCUUUACCCCACUGCACCUCAGACCCCAAGGAACUUGGACUCUGCUCAAGUCAGUAAGUUGGAGCUCCCCACGUCCCCAAACUGGCCGCUCAUGGAGGAAAAACCUGGGGAGGAAGGACAGAGAGAAAACCCGAGGAGCUGCCUGUUAUAAUGGAAAAAUAAAACGUCUUCUUGGGAAGCUCCCUACAAACUCUGUUAGGGAAGCUCUGGUCCUUUCUGCCUUGGCUGAUCCAGAGGAGAAAAGGAAAGAAGAAAGAACAAAAUAAUUUAACUUGGCAAAAGAGCUCUUUCCCGGUGCUUUUCUCACCCAUCCUCACCAUGAACGCUGGACCCUGCAUCACCUUCCCAACCCCAUCCCUGGGGCUGAUCUUGACUCAGUCCUUUGUUCAAAAUGGUCUACCACACCAUAGGGUAAAUUGGAAGGAGGGUCUUUGGUCCUGGAAUUUGGAGAUGAGGCUCCAACAGGAAGGAGAACUGAGCUGCUAUGAGUGUAAGCAUUUUUGGUGGAGCCUACAUCAAUUCCAAGGUGUCAUUGGUAGCCCUUACGUGAGGGCUUGUCAGGAGAAGCCUGGACUAGCCCAUGGAGGAUGAGACUUCAUGGAGCAGAGAUGGGCCAUCCCAGUUGAGGGCCCCUAAAGCAAUCAACCUCGAGCUGAUCUGCCAGCUGACUGCAGCUGCAUGAGUGACCCCAGGCAAGACCAGCAGAAGAACUGCCAACUGAACCCAACCCAGCU